GAGUUGCCAAGCCCUCGCUGGACGGAGAUGGUUCUUGAAUCUUGCAUCUAGAAUUGUAUAGGUCCGACCUCCGAUCCAACCGUCAGGGAUCCAAAACAGUAAUCUAGGGAUACGAUUGAUUAAUUAUUUCUAGGUCUGGUCCUCCACAGGGUUAUCAACAUGGAGUGAGACAUAGGGGUAUAUCUCUAUUGGUGGCCGAAAAGGACUGGAGUAAUUCGGAUUGACUAUGGCAGGAAGAGCGGCAGGAAAUGCCGUCAGGCUAAUCAUUUGCUGCAGAGCUAGAUGAACUUGUUCGGAAACCUGCUUCAGAAAAAGGGGAGAACUAAGAAGAGCCUAGAGCAUGCAGUCCAUGUUCGCAUCGCACCGCUUGAACCGGAGAUCGACCAGUUCGUGUUCUUUCUUUCCUCGAUUUGUACUGUAUUAUACUCUUGAGCGAUUUUUUCUUCAAUUUGAUAGUGCCUUCAAAACAAAGAAACACCGUUUUCCCCACCACCUGCUAGAAAGUUAACCAUGACAGGAAAACGGGAAAACUUGUACUAAUGUUCUUCGUUGAGAUAAGCGUGCUCUGUGGGCAUAAGCGAUUUUCCGAGGUACAAAACAUGUUCAGCAGUUGGCAAAGCCUGCCAAGAAUACAGACCUCUUUUCAAUGGUAAAUUGUAUUUCAAUGCUACAAAUGAUGAACAUUCGAAACAAAUAAAUAAGUAUUUUUUUCAAAAAAAUAAAAAAAAUUUCAUUAAAUGAUUCAUUUUGGCAG
RNAcentral lists this long non-coding RNA (754 nucleotides) under Brachypodium distachyon (stiff brome). RNAcentral's name for it is "long non-coding RNA (BDIS_LNC000343)". Lineage: Eukaryota; Viridiplantae; Streptophyta; Magnoliopsida; Poales; Poaceae. The record is from RNAcentral.